GAAAUGCGAUAAGUAAUGUGAAUUGCAGAAUUCAGUGAAUCAUCGAAUCUUUGAACGCACCUUGCGCUCCUUGGUAUUCCUUGGAGCAUGCCUGUUUGAGUAUCAUGAAAUCUUCAAAGUAAACCUUUUGUUAACUCAAUUGGUUUCUACUUUGGUAUUGGAGGUCUUUGCAGCUUCACACCUGCUCCUCUUUGUUCAUUAGCUGGAUCUCAGUGUUAUGCUUGGUUCCACUCGGCGUGAUAAGUUAUCUAUCGCUGAGGACACUGUAAAAGGUGGCCAAGUUAAAUGCAGAUGAACCGCUUCUAAUAGUCCAUUGACUUGGACAAUACUUUUAUGAUCUGAUCUCAAAUCAGGUAGGACUACCCGCUGAACUUAAGC
RNAcentral lists this unclassified non-coding RNA (378 nucleotides) under plant metagenome. RNAcentral describes it as "partial contains 5.8S ribosomal RNA, internal transcribed spacer 2, and large subunit ribosomal RNA". The stretch from base 1 to 105 matches the Rfam family "5.8S ribosomal RNA", at positions 50 to 154 of the family's 154-position model. The record is from RNAcentral.